RNAcentral lists this ribosomal RNA (1836 nucleotides) under Triticum aestivum (bread wheat). RNAcentral's name for it is "partial small subunit ribosomal RNA". Lineage: Eukaryota; Viridiplantae; Streptophyta; Magnoliopsida; Poales; Poaceae. The record is from RNAcentral.
AUGGGCGAGACGGCCAUGGCCGGGUACGGGCUGGACAGGCCGGCGCGCUGCAGCGUCAGCUUCGACACGCCGUGCGGCUCCCUGCUGCGCGAGCUCGAGCAAAUAUGGACAGAGAUCGGGGAGCGCGAACAAGAUAAAGAUCGGAUGUUUCAAGAACUCGAAGCGGAGUGUAUGCGUGUGUAUCGUCGGAAGGUCGACAGUGCCAAUGCUGAUAGAAGCCAGCUCCGCCAGUCAGUGAUGGCCAAAGAAGCAGAGCUUAAAGCUUUAGUGGCUUCGAUAGGUGAAAAUACUACACAAUUUAAGGUGAAUGAAAAGCAUGCAUCGUUGAAAGAACAACUUGCUGCAGUGACGCCUCUCUUGGAUGAUCUCAGGGCCAUGAAAGAAGAAAGAAUCAAACAGUUCUCAAAUGUGCAAUCGCAAAUCGAGACGAUAAAUGCACAAAUAUCUGAUCACAAUUAUCAGCAUGAUGAUGGUUCGUCCAAACGUCUGAACAAUGAUCAUGACUUGUCAACCAGAAGACUUGCUGAUCUUCAAAUGCAGCUACGCAAUUUACAAAAAGAGAAGUCUGACCGCCUUCAGAAAGUAUUUGUAUAUGUGGAUGAAGUGCACUGCCUAUGCGCUGUGCUUGGGAUGGAUUUUGCAAAGACUGUAAAGGACGUGCAUCCAAGUUUGCAUGGGACCAACUCAGAUAAUUCGACGAAUAUCAGUGAUAGCACCCUUGAAGGUCUUACUCAGACUAUCCUGAAGCUCAAAGCAGAAAAGAGGACCAGAGUCUCCAAGUUGCAAGAAAUUGUGGGGAAACUCCACAAGUUAUGGAAUCUGAUGGAGUCAACAGAACAAGAGAGGAGACAUUUCAGCGAAGUAGCCGCUGUUCUUGGAUCUUCUGAGGAAGAGAUCACUUCUCCUAGUGUCCUGUCACUGGAGACGAUUCAGGAGACAGAAGAGGAGGUCGAAAGACUAACUAAGCAAAAAGCGAGUAGAAUGAAGGAGCUUGUUCUUAAGAGAAGGGUAGAGCUAGAAAAUAUCUGCAGAAAUGCACAUAUGGAGCCCGAUACGAGCACAGCACCAGAGAAGAUCGUUGCUCUAAUCGAUUCUGGUCUAGUGGAUCCUUGCGAACUUCUUUCCAACAUCGAAGCGCAAAUUGCAAAAGCAAAUGAGGAAUCUCAUACGAGGAAAGAUAUCAUGGAGAGAGUAGACAAAUGGCUAUCGGCCUGUGAUGAAGAGACUUGGCUUGAGGAAUACAAUCAGGAUGAUAACAGGUACAGUGCGGGCAGGGGUGCCCACUUGAAUCUCAAGCGUGCAGAAAAAGCGCGGUUACUCGUUCAAAAGAUUCCAACUAUGAUUGACAACUUGAUAGACAAGACAUUUGCCUGGGAGGAUGAAAGCAAUACACCAUUUCUAUAUGACGGGGUUCGUCUGGUCGCAAUUUUGGAAGAGCAAAAACUCAGAAGAGUACAGAAGGAGGAAGAUAAGAAACGAUACCGGGACCAGAAGAAGCUGCAGAAUCUAUUGCUUAAAGAAAAGGAGUUGAUCUUUGGGUCCAAGUCUGUUCCGAGGAAAACAAGCAGUUUUAACAGGAGGACGAGCGGGCAUCAUCCAAAUGGAAACGGGGCUGGUUUCAUGACUCCGAUGCCCCGCCGGGUGUCAGCGGGCAGUGCCACUCCUGAGCUUUUGACACCACGCUCGUAUUCUGGCCGGUACAACAAUUACUUCAAGGAGAACAGGAGGAUGACGGCGACGCCACUCAACUUCUCUACGGCUUCCAAGGAUGACAGCAUGUCAUCCUUCGCCUCCAUUAGCGGCUCGGAGCCUGGUUCUCCAUUGGUUUUGCACUGA